Molecule: ribosomal RNA, 1103 nt
Filed under: Heyndrickxia oleronia
Lineage: Bacteria; Bacillati; Bacillota; Bacilli; Caryophanales; Bacillaceae
Description: bacterial SSU rRNA
Rfam family: Bacterial small subunit ribosomal RNA
Source: RNAcentral
UGAUGGGAGCUUGCUCCCUGAUGAUUAGCGGCGGACGGGUGAGUAACACGUGGGUAACCUGCCUGUAAGACUGGGAUAACUCCGGGAAACCGGGGCUAAUACCGGAUAACUUUUUUCUUCGCAUGAGGGAGAAUUGAAAGAUGGCUUCGGCUAUCACUUACAGAAGGACCCGCGGCGCAUUAGCUAGUUGGUGAGGUAACGGCUCACCAAGGCGACGAUGCGUAGCCGACUUGAGAGGGUGAUCGGCCACACUGGGACUGAGACACGGCCCAGACUCCUACGGGAGGCAGCAGUAGGGAAUCUUCCGCAAUGGACGAAAGUCUGACGGAGCAACGCCGCGUGAGUGAUGAAGGUUUUCGGAUCGUAAAACUCUGUUGUUAGGGAAGAACAAGUAUCGUUCGAAUAGGGCGGUACCUUGACGGUACCUAACCAGAAAGCCACGGCUAACUACGUGCCAGCAGCCGCGGUAAUACGUAGGUGGCAAGCGUUGUCCGGAAUUAUUGGGCGUAAAGCGCGCGCAGGCGGUUUCUUAAGUCUGAUGUGAAAUCUUGCGGCUCAACCGCAAGCGGCCAUUGGAAACUGGGAGACUUGAGUGCAGAAGAGGAGAGUGGAAUUCCACGUGUAGCGGUGAAAUGCGUAGAGAUGUGGAGGAACACCAGUGGCGAAGGCGACUCUCUGGUCUGUAACUGACGCUGAGGCGCGAAAGCGUGGGGAGCGAACAGGAUUAGAUACCCUGGUAGUCCACGCCGUAAACGAUGAGUGCUAAGUGUUAGAGGGUUUCCGCCCUUUAGUGCUGCAGCUAACGCAUUAAGCACUCCGCCUGGGGAGUACGGCCGCAAGGCUGAAACUCAAAGGAAUUGACGGGGGCCCGCACAAGCGGUGGAGCAUGUGGUUUAAUUCGAAGCAACGCGAAGAACCUUACCAGGUCUUGACAUCCUCUUGACCUCCCUAGAGAUAGGGAUUUCCCUUCGGGGACAGGAAUGACAGGUGGUGCAUGGUUGUCGUCAGCUCCUGUCCUGAGAUGUUGGGUUAAGUCCCCCCAACGAGCGCAACCCUUGACCUUAGUUGCCAUCAUUCAAUUGGGCACUCUAAGGUGACUGCCG